UUACGGUCAAAUCACGUUGAAAACACCGGUUCUCGUUCGAUCACCGAAGUUAAGCAUCGUAGAGCCAGGUCAGUACUUAGAUGGGGGACCGCUUGGGAAAACACCUGGUACUGUAAG
RNAcentral lists this ribosomal RNA (117 nucleotides) under Acanthosepion pharaonis. The record is from RNAcentral. Lineage: Eukaryota; Metazoa; Mollusca; Cephalopoda; Sepiida; Sepiidae.